Long non-coding RNA from Sander lucioperca (pikeperch), 149 nucleotides. RefSeq lists it as uncharacterized. Lineage: Eukaryota; Metazoa; Chordata; Actinopteri; Perciformes; Percidae. The record is from RefSeq and is a predicted model, not a curated record. The transcript is spliced from 4 exons.
UAGGCCAGGGGGCGGGUCCUGUGUCUGUGAUUGGCCGGGGGGCGGGCCCUGUGUCUGUGAUUUGUCAGGAGGCGGGUCCUGUGUCUGUGAUUGGCCAGGGGGCGGUCCAUGUGUCUGUGAUUGGCCGGGGGGGGGGGCCUGUGUCUAUG